CUAAGGAGACAGAACGCGGCACUUCGGUGCUGCGAUUCUAGGUCAACCCAUCCCAUGGAAACAUGGCGAUGUUAUUACGAUGGUGUCAGAUUAUGAAGCGAGCGUUUCCAAGUCAUACCGCUCCCGCUUUGAAAGAAGCAGUCAUUUCUGUCGAUUAUUCAGUCUGACGGUCGCUAUCGGUGACUAAUCUGCUGGGGGCAUAGCUCAGUUUGGCAGAGCACGAGCUUUGCAAGCUCGGGGUCGCCGGUUCGAACCCGGUUGCCUCCACCAUUUAAAAUGGGCGUGUAGCUCAGUUGGUUAGAGCGCGUCCCUGAUAAGGACGAGGUCCCUGGUUCGACUCCAGGCACGCCCACCAUAUAAGCGUGGCGGUGCCGACAGCAUCCGUACAGACAAUCAACUUUUUACGAUACUUCAUCCGGCAGCAAUGGAACGGAGACGAAAGUCCCGGGCACCAGCGGAGGCGGAUGAUAGUUCAGUUGGUCUUUUACAAUUGCAUAUAGACGGGCAAGCAACUUUGUGCCGAGAAGGCAAGUUUUUUU
RNAcentral lists this unclassified non-coding RNA (539 nucleotides) under uncultured Verrucomicrobiales bacterium. RNAcentral's name for it is "16S-23S ribosomal RNA intergenic spacer". The stretch from base 279 to 352 matches the Rfam family "tRNA". Lineage: Bacteria; Pseudomonadati; Verrucomicrobiota; Verrucomicrobiia; Verrucomicrobiales. The record is from RNAcentral.